GUAGGUGGCAAGCGUUGUCCGGAAUUAUUGGGCGUAAAGCGCGCGCAGGCGGUCCUUUAAGUCUGAUGUGAAAGCCCACGGCUCAACCGUGGAGGGUCAUUGGAAACUGGGGGACUUGAGUACAGAAGAGGAAAGCGGAAUUCCAAGUGUAGCGGUGAAAUGCGUAGAGAUUUGGAGGAACACCAGUGGCGAAGGCGGCUUUCUGGUCUGUAACUGACGCUGAGGCGCGGAAGCGUGGGGAGCAAACAGGGAUUAGAUACCCUGGUAGUCCACGCCGUAAACGAUGAGUGCUAAGUGUUAGGGGGUUUCCCGCCCCUUAGUGCUGCAGCUAACGCAUUAAGCACUCCGCCUGGGGAGUACGGCCGCAAGGCUG
RNAcentral lists this ribosomal RNA (373 nucleotides) under uncultured organism. RNAcentral's name for it is "partial 16S ribosomal RNA". It matches the Rfam family "Bacterial small subunit ribosomal RNA", at positions 527 to 896 of the family's 1533-position model. The record is from RNAcentral.